This 1355-nucleotide small RNA is filed under the name Pongo abelii (Sumatran orangutan). RNAcentral's name for it is "retained intron". Lineage: Eukaryota; Metazoa; Chordata; Mammalia; Primates; Hominidae. The record is from RNAcentral.
AUUUCUAGUUUAGACUUAAUUGGCAGUGUCAGGUGCAAGCAUGCAAUUUUGUGUUUUCUUAGUUUGACAACAAGGGCACAGGUUGGGGGAUGGAGAAUGGAAAAUGUGGGUAGGGUCUGAAUCUCAUUGAAGGCUGUUUACCAUUUCCAGAGCCUUUAGAGUGCAAGGCUGCCAUUAGCUCAUAAAUAAGAGAACACCUCCCUAGUUCAGAAGUGGCUCCUGCUGCUACUCAUAUCAUGGGCAGAGUGACUUACACGUGGGUCCUUUGCAGUGAGAGCUUUCUUUCGUUAUGUUCUCUCUCCACUCAUCGGCGGGUGAGGGGCUGUUCUCAGCAGAUAAAUGAGAUGCUUCACGUACUAGGCCAGAAAACAGUUGGGUUGACCUGUCUAUCUCCCUAGAUUCCUUGGGUUUUAAGAGAACUCAUGUAGUGUACCUCAGAUAGCUUUCUAAAGUAAGAAUGAGCUUAGGGGAGAGAAAGUAGCCCACUCUCCCACUUUUUGGUCUUUGAAGGUGUCUUUUGUUCAGCAAUAGAGUCUGCCACAGCCUAUUUCCCAUCCCCUGGUGCUAAGACUCUGGGGCCAUCAGUGGAUUUGUAUAAAGACGUCAGAGUAAAAAAGAGUCCAAAUGCCAGAUGCGGUCUACAUAAUGUAGGGACUAGCAGUAAAGCCCUUGUCUGGUGAAAUUUUGCACAUUCAGUCAUCAUUUUUCAAUCAGUUGGACAUCACGUCCUUCCAUCUCUCACACUAAAACCCCAUGAUGCUGCAGGAAAAAUGCAAAUUCCUCUUCAUCCUUACCAAUAGGAGAGAAUGAAGAUGAGAAACUGAAUGAAGUAAUGCAGGAGGCUUGGAAGUAUAACCGGGAAUGCAAACUCCUAAGAGAUACUCUGCAGAGCUUCAGCUGGAAUGGUCGUGGAUUCACAGAUAAAGUAGAUCGACUAAAACUGGCAGAAAUUGUGAAGCAGACUGCUUGCUGGAACUCACAGGAGGCACACUUGAGCUUGGGGAGCCAACUUCCAUGAUGGAAGAAGAGGGAGGUGCGAUGGAAAAGGUAUCCAAAGUGAUACUUCCUUUGACUCUGAGCAUCUGUGGCCCGUGUUUCAGUCACUUCAAGCUGAAUUCAUGUGGCCCUCAGUGUAAGUGCUGUGUCCAGACACAUCCAAAUGAGCACCAAGCUGGAAGUUUGUGAACACUCUGGAGGAUGCCCCAGCUGUUGUACUGCAACAGCAUGCCUUGAAAAAAACAGUAGCUCCCAAGUGACUCAGCAUGGCUUGGUCUUCGAAAUGGAGUGUUGUUUGUGUAUUCCUAGUCCAGCAGUAAAUUCUGCUUUAACAUAACUGUCAGGUUUGCUACUCGAAA